GGAGGUUUUAGCUUAAUUAAAGUGCCUGGUUUGCAGUCAGGGGAUGUAUUUUAUAAUAUUACAAACCUU
RNAcentral lists this transfer RNA (69 nucleotides) under Hemiphyllodactylus sp. 7 PLW-2014. RNAcentral describes it as "tRNA-Ala". It matches the Rfam family "tRNA". Rfam says of the family: Transfer RNA (tRNA) molecules are approximately 80 nucleotides in length. Their secondary structure includes four short double-helical elements and three loops (D, anti-codon, and T loops). The record is from RNAcentral. Lineage: Eukaryota; Metazoa; Chordata; Lepidosauria; Squamata; Gekkonidae.